AUGCUGUUUACAACAGUGAGGUGAGGAAUGCCAUAAAGAGGAUCAAAGAAAAGAGAAAGGCCUUAUCUUUCACGAACUGCUCCCAGCCAACCAGCUUCCUACCUUCUCAGAGGACCCCGAUCACUUCCUGGGGCCACAGCCUACCGACGACCUCCAGCCCUGAGACCAGUGAGACGUCUGUACCUGCCGGCACUACUUCCACAUCCAUGGUCAUCAAGAACGAGAGUUUCAGAAAGGAGAGCUUUGUGAGUUUCUUUUUGAACCCAGGAUCCGGAAACCAAGUGGUACAGCUGACGGGGUUCAAGCCAUCAGGUUGUUGAACUACAAAUGGAGUGGAACCUACACUCAGUAUCUACACACGCAUCUUCACCAUCGUCAUGACGCUGAAAAAUGGAUGAAGAUGAAGCCCCGAUGCCGUCACUGUCCUCUUCUCAGAUCUCAUCAGAAUCCGUCUGAUAGUUUAGUCAUUUGAUGUCUGGCAAAUGUUGGACUGAAGAGGCUUUUAAAUCCCAGGACACGCAGUCCACACACAAAAAUGUGCUCUGUUCACUGUUGUUGCUCCAGAACAAUGUGCCC
Molecule: long non-coding RNA, 576 nt
Organism: Astatotilapia calliptera (eastern happy)
Lineage: Eukaryota; Metazoa; Chordata; Actinopteri; Cichliformes; Cichlidae
Source: Ensembl